This 160-nucleotide ribosomal RNA is filed under the name Colletotrichum agaves. RNAcentral describes it as "partial large subunit ribosomal RNA". It matches the Rfam family "Eukaryotic large subunit ribosomal RNA", at positions 99 to 261 of the family's 3401-position model. Lineage: Eukaryota; Fungi; Ascomycota; Sordariomycetes; Glomerellales; Glomerellaceae. The record is from RNAcentral.
CGGCAACAGCUCAAAUUUGAAAUCUGGCCCCCGGGCCCGAGUUGUAAUUUGCAGAGGAUGCUUUUGGCGAGGUGCCUUCCGAGUUCCCUGGAACGGGACGCCAUAGAGGGUGAGAGCCCCGUACGGUCGUGCCACCGAGCCUCUGUAAAGCUCCUUCGAC